This 408-nucleotide ribosomal RNA is filed under the name Fusobacteriota bacterium. Its description in RNAcentral is "Fusobacteria bacterium partial 16S ribosomal RNA". It matches the Rfam family "Bacterial small subunit ribosomal RNA", at positions 355 to 776 of the family's 1533-position model. Lineage: Bacteria; Fusobacteriati; Fusobacteriota. The record is from RNAcentral.
UGGGGAAUAUUGCACAAUGGACGGAAGUCUGCUGCAGCAACGCCGCGUGCGGGAUGACGGCCUUCGGGUUGUAAACCGCUUUUUCUCAUGACGAAGUUUUUUGACGGUAGUGGGGGAAGAAGCACCGGCUAACUACGUGCCAGCAGCCGCGGUGAUACGUAGGGUGCGAGCGUUGUCCGGAAUUAUUGGGCGUAAAGAGCUUGUAGGCGGUUUGUCGCGUCGAUAGUGCAAACUCAGUGCUUAACGCUGAGCCUGCUGUUGAUACGGGCAGACUAGAGGAAGGUAGGGGAGAAUGGAAUUCCCGGUGGAGCGGUGGAAUGCGCAGAUAUCGGGAGGAACACCGGUGGCGAAGGCGGUUCUCUGGGCCUUUCCUGACGCUGAGAAGCGAAAGCGUGGGGAGCGAACAGG